CCGUAGAAGUUGUUUUUUUGCUGUUCUUCGAUUCUUAGCUGUUCUUCCGUUCUGUAACGGCGAGCGUUUCUGUUUCUCAUUUCUUUAAUCACAUCACUAACCCCAGUUCCACUACUCUCCUCACUCUCUGUAAAUUAAACACCAUAAUUAUCAUGAAAUCUGAUGAAGGAGGAUGUGACAACAGAUAGCAGAGGCAAUUGCUUUUUGAGUGGAUUGUUAUCCUCUGAGAUAUGGAGCAAGUAUUCGUCGGGUCAAGGGUUUACUAUUAUGGGCUUUACUCAUUCCAAGAAGCGCUUCCAUGGCCGUUUAUUAAUGUUUGUUUGCUCUUACUCGAGACUGUGAGAUGCAGUGGAUUACGAGGUAUUUGGGAGUCAGUACUGUGACUUCGACAAAGGCACUCUCCGCGGCGAUAUUAAUAUCUCAGUCCGUCCUAUUACACAAGCGAAGUUUGGCAGCAAGGUCAACAAGUUUCUAUCCUUCUUUGUCGUUUAUAUAUUCUGAGCUAACCAAUAAAGUAGUAUGUUCAACUCAUUCUGUUUUCAUUCUACUGUAUUUGGAUGAUUAUUCGUGUUUCUGUUGGUUCACAGGUGGAAAUGAAGAAUUUGAAUGAGUUUUCACCAAUUAACAGGGCCAAGCCAACCAGCUUAUGGGGAGAAGUAACUCAGACAGGAACAAUAAUGAAUACAUGAAUAUUGACGGAGAGGUGAGAAAGCUGACUAAUGCCCUGCAGAAGAUGUUGCACAACUUCUGGAGGAGUGAAGACCCGGACCGUAGACCCCUGCCACAGUGCAUACAUGACUUAGUUGGGAGCACUUCUACUUAUUGAAGCUUUCCCAUUCAACUGCUCCUCCAAGCAUCAGCCGUUCACCAUAUCUCGAAUCUUUGACCGCGACCAGUGUUCACCACUGCCAAACUUUGCUGUAAAUGGAGCGAUAACAACCCCGGAGAUGAUAUCCCUGGAACAGUAAGCAGUAGCAGUUACAACUAACCUUUACUGGUGAGUGUGUGACUAGGGGAGCCCUGCUACAAAUGCUUGUGGGGUUAUGGAGGGAGCUUCUGCUGCUGCAGGUGUUUCGCAUGAUGAACCUGUACAUGGUGGAAUAACUGCUGAUGGUCCACCACACCGGAGGCUGAUCCAGCAAAGCUGAAGUUCCCAGCAUCGUGUGUCGCCAACUCAAGCGUCCACCACUGCUGCUCCUUAGGUUUUUGUCUUCAUUUGAGUUAAAAUAAAUUGUUUAAGAUCACGCUACUUAUUUCAAUGCUUUUUGUUGUUGGGUUUUUUUUUUUUUACUUUUUCUUAGCGUUGUCAUCACGAAAACUUUGUAUCAGCAGUGGUUUAAAAAAAAAUAUUUAUUGCUCUUCGACAAACUACAUUCCUGUUUGUUUAAAAAUAAGCUAUAUUCCUGUUGCUAUUUGAGAGCUGGUCCUACCGCUUAAAUAAACAUAGUAGGUAGCUCCUCCUGAUUUUGCAUCCAUAUUUUACAGAAGUUGAUUUAGCAAACAAACUAUAUUGAUUGCCUCCAUGAGUUCUGGGUGAUUUAAACUGAGUUCUUCCGUACACAUUUAGACACUGGCAUAAUGCAGCGCUAUGGAUAAAAUCAUUUAACGUUCAAGGGUGUUGUCCUUACAGAACGUCACCGGCAAAUACUGUAUCAGCAGCAGCAUUGGUGAUUAGGAGGUUACGACCACUGACUCCCAUGCUCUAUAAAACUGAGCUUUGUUAGUUGCGUUUCCUGUUUUCCCACUGUAGGAACGUACAUCUGCAUUAGCAAGUUUGUGAAGGAUAAGAAGAUGAUGGCUCCCGACUGACAGGUCCCAAAGAUACUUGAGGUGUUCGUCAAGUUUAUGUUAAAAACUUAAAAAUAUAAAUAACACGAAUAUACAAAAGUAGUUUGGUGCAAAUCAAAAGAUCAUAAAUAAAGUAUCUUCUGCUGUUUGUCCAAAUAAUUCAAAGAAGAUAUAUUUUUUCCUUCUGUGUUGAGAGAACAUUUGACCCCAAAACGUUUAUAGCUUAUCGGAUUUUAACUGCGUCUACAGUUUAUAGAGAGUAGGAGAAGUCACAGUCCUAUUCAUAUGUUAGCCUCAACCGCAUUGUUUCACAGAAUCUCGAGUGGUGUCGCUGACCAAGAAUGCAUCACGCAUACAACGAUCAAUGGACUUGAAAAUCUGGGCAGUGGUGGAUAUCUCGAGUUCAUGAAUUUGUUUUUUUUUGGCUAAAUAGUUUGUUCAUGAAUUCUUCUCAAGCGAGAUAUUAUAUAACUAUUGCCUGAACUGCCAAGCGUUUAAGGAUGAGAAACGAUGAAAAGACUUUGAUCUAUAUCAAACAUACAACUACACGGUUCACAAAAAGAAAAACCCCUCUGUUCAAACUCGCAAAACCCUACAAGUAUAGAACUACAUAGACCCAUACUUACUGACGAACAGAAAGCAAUAACAGAUCCAUAUAAUGUGAUUUCACAUUUCAUCAAACUCACACCAACGUAAAUAAAAAUAGGGUAAAUCUCACGAAAUAUUUACUAGAUCAGGGAACUAAAAUUUACAAUAAAAUGAUGGGCAACCACAACCAAAAAUUAAUACAUAAUAGAAUUUAAAAUAUAAUAAUUUUUAAAAGAAAAAAAUGUAAAUAAAAGAAAUAUUAAAAUUAAAUAUUUAGUUACAAUACAUAAUAUAAGUUGAAUAACAUAAAAAAAAACUUUUUGAAUAAGGUGAAAAAAACUUAGUAACAAAAUAAAAAUUUAGUUUAAAAUACAUCAUACAACUCAAUAAUACAUUUUAUGAAUAAAUAUAAAUUUAAUAAAAGAAAAUGAGAAAGAAAAUAUACUUAUUAUGUUGCUUUUUCAGAUUUCAAAAAUAUAACAAGAUAAAUAAAAAGUGAAUUUAAUGAAACUUUUUUUCUUCAUUUUGGUCAUAGUAUUAAUACAUAGAAAACUUUGAAAUAAUUAAGGAAAACAAUCAAAUAUUAAUAGAUAAUCAAAACACAGAAGAAUAAAAGUUAGGAACUAAUUUACGAUAUUGUGUUUUCAAAUUUCAUCAAAACAAAAUUAACAAAAAUAAAUAAAUUUGAUAGAUUUUUUUUUUUUGCUUUCUGAUCAUUAAACUCAAACCAUCAAAAAUAAACAAGAAAUUGAUAAAAAAUAACUUAACAAAAAAUACAUAAUCAAAAAUAAUAUUUAGAAAACAAUCAAAAACUUAAAGUAAACCUAUAGCAAAUACACAA
Long non-coding RNA from Brassica rapa (field mustard), 3217 nucleotides. RefSeq lists it as uncharacterized. The record is from RefSeq and is a predicted model, not a curated record. Lineage: Eukaryota; Viridiplantae; Streptophyta; Magnoliopsida; Brassicales; Brassicaceae.